Podarcis lilfordi (Lilford's wall lizard) is the source of this 72-nucleotide non-coding RNA. The record is from the annotation of a GenBank genome assembly. NCBI's taxonomy places the organism in Eukaryota, Metazoa, Chordata, Lepidosauria, Squamata, Lacertidae.
GGUGGUGUAGCUCAGUGGCAGAACAUCUGCACUGUGUGCAGAAAGUCCCAGGUUUAGUCCCUGGCAUCUGCA